This 253-nucleotide ribosomal RNA is filed under the name uncultured bacterium. Its description in RNAcentral is "partial 16S ribosomal RNA". It matches the Rfam family "Bacterial small subunit ribosomal RNA", at positions 524 to 776 of the family's 1533-position model. The record is from RNAcentral.
UACGGAGGGGGCAAGCGUUAUCCGGAUUUACUGGGCUUAAAGGGUGCGUAGGUGGGUUGAUAAGUCAGUGGUGAAAUCCCCGAGCUUAACUUGGGAACUGCCAUUGAUACUAUUGAUCUUGAAUACCGUGGAGGUCAGCGGAAUAUGUCAUGUAGCGGUGAAAUGCUUAGAUAUGACAUAGAACACCAAUUGCGAAGGCAGCUGGCUACGCGAAUAUUGACACUGAUGCACGAAAGCGUGGGGAUCAAACAGG